AAUAUGAUUUCAUUAUUGAUUGGAAAGAGAAGGAGAGAGAGAGGAAAAAUUUCGCAGCAACCAUGGCGUCCGCCGUCCGUGAGCCAGGCAUCACUGGGUGUAUUUUGAAAUUUUGAUCUCACCGUUGUCGAGGAAGAUCACUUGAGACAAUGGAGUGCGCUGGGAAGGGGCGGGGUACGACGUGCAAGGGCCCGUCCUCAAGACGCUGCGGCGCCGUUGCUUACUGUUCUGUUUCUCACCAGUAUGAUAGAGCUGCGAUGAGAUACUGAUUCAACAAGGAAGAGUGUGAAAGAUUUGAACAACAGAUGGAGAAGGACGAUGUCUUGAAUAAUUUUCCCUUUACGUUUUCGGAGGAAGCUACACUUCAGGUGUGUGAAAAGCUGGAGACCAGGUGUUCAAGUGGGAAUGUGGAUGUCUGAGUGCUGCUGUAGGGCUGUAGUUCCAUUUCUUCAUCAUUCAAGGUUGUUGUUGUUGUUGUUUGUUUGUUGUUUUUUUGUUUUUUUUCUUGUUUUUUGGUUUUGUUUUCGUUCUCUAUUUUUUGAUACCCAAAUUAUAACAAUUGUUAGUGAAGAUAUCAUCUUCAGUUGGUCCUUCUAAUGAUGCGUAUUCAUGCGUGAAUUUGCAAUAAAACACAGGGUGUCCUAGUUGCCCAAACCAUCUGAAUUGAAGGGAGGAGUAUUUGAAAUCCCAUCAAAUUUUAUCAUCCUUUUACCCAAAAGAUUAAACCCUGUGGAAGAUGAAUAAUGAGUCACUGAAUCAAUGAAGAUAUUGGUUUGCCAUGAACUACUCUUGCAAUUUGAAUAACUUAUGUUGGUAUAUCUUUUGCUUUGGUUCAUUUUUAUUUUUAAAAUUUUUCUAGCAAGUUGAAUGAUGGUUGGAAUCUUUCGAGUGACUUGUGCCUAUGUAAAGGUAUUAUCUUUUGCUUCCAACUUACUUUUAUCCCAAAUUGACUGCUGUUUCUAGAAAGUUACUUCAUAUGAAUGUGCAGAGCCCCUAUCUCCGUAAUCAAAGCAUUUAAGUAGUUGGAAGGACUAUUAUGAAUGGAGGUGUAUCCUGCUACAUUCACCAGUUGCUUUGCUUCUUCAUUGGGGCCUGACGAAGAACUUCUUCAACUUGCUGCUUGGGGAAUUGUACACACUUUUUCCUGAUGUACAGGUGCAUAUAGAUUUUGUUGGACCUGCAGUUCCACAAUAUAGGUCAGUUUCAUAAUAUGAUGGAUGAUUUGGAUACUAUGUUUUGGUUAUUGUUGCUACAAGUGUGAGUCAGGCAAGAUGGUUUUGAGAUGGGAUUCAACUCAAGCCCAUGCCAAGUCCAAAACAGUCAGCCUAUAACUUGGCUAUAUAUGCAUUUAGUUCAAAUUAUUAAGCUCAAUAUUAGAUUUAUUAUUCUUGAUGUUUGUGUAGCUGUGCGACUUGGUUUAUAUUGGUUCUCUUGUUAGCUUCACCCUUUAUUAUUGUAUUUUUAUAAGUAUUCUAAUCAAAACAACUUAUAAGAUUGCAGAGGAAUUGAAGGAUACGUGGUUUGGUGCUAGGGUAAAAUCUGAGUUGACGCUGCAAACCAAACCCAGUAUGAACCUUGUUAAGGUUGCAACUUCCUCCAUAGAACCUUACCUUGACUCCAGAAAAUUUUACCCAAGCCUUUAGUGUAAUGGCUUGUAUCAGUUGAAUUGUUGAGCCUGAGCUGAGAUGCUUUGUUCUUUCCAUGAAAGUAUAUAUUGUUUGUCUCCUGUCGAGGAGCAGGAAUUGUCUGAAUAUUUUUUACCUCCAUCUUGUUAUAUUUUAGAGCAUCCACCAUAGGCCAUUUGGCCGUUUUUGUCUUCUUGUUUUUCAGAGAUUGUUGAAUGGUGUUUUGUGCAUGUUGUGAUUGUGGCAUUUCAUCAUGUCUGUGAACAUGAUUUUUUUUUCCUUGAAUUAAUACUCCUCAAGGAUGGUAUCUUCUCCUUCAUUUUCCAUCAUUACGCUUCUUUCAUUUCUUCUUUACUUUUUGCCUGGGAACAUUGAUUCCUCUGCUUUCAUGGGGACAAGUUAUGGUACGACAAUUGCCACAACAAAUUGCAUGGGCAUAUUUAGGUCACAGUUUGGACAAAAUCCCUUAUUUAAAAUUCCAUAGUUUAAUGAAGUGCAUAAGAUCUUAUGAAUUAGUAAAGGGACAUUGUUAUGGAAGUGAAUUCAAUGGUAAUUGUGACAAGAUGAUGGUAAUUGUUGUGCUUAGAACUGGUGGUGGUGGUGGGUGGUGAAGGUAGUGGUGAUGGUGGAGGCGGUGGCAAGUUAGUGGUGGUUGUGCAACGGACAAGUAGUGGCGGGGGUGGCAAGGUUGUUGCAGCAAAAGUGGUAAUGGUGGAUGGUGGCAACAUAGUAGUUGUGCUAAUGGUGGAGGUCUGGUGGUAAAGGUGAUGGCAUGUUGGUUGGUGGAGAUGGUGAUGACUAUGAGGUGGCGGUGGUGUCAUUGUAAAAUGUAGUUACCCUGCAUUGUGUCACGGUCCGACUAUUUUCACACCGUUGUGAAUGGGUCGUGCAGCGCUAGCUAAAGCACUCUUGUUUAACUAGCUAGCCUAUCGUUUACCAACAUUCAUCCACAAAGUACUUUCAUUAGCAUUCAUUCAAAUAGCAGCGGAAAAAGUAAUCAAUUCAUGAAAGCCAUGGCAAGCAAGCAGUAAACAUUGAAGUAAACGUAAUUCAUUAACAAAUCCUCCGUUGAAAUGGUGUACUUAGCGAGGGAGGCAAGUAGGCUAAGCACGUUGACAAUUGCUAGUGAGUUUUACAAUGACUGAUGAACACUCACCCUCCCCUAAAGAGGUUUUUAUGUAAUUAUCAUUAUGACACUAGGAAACAUCAAAGUGACCUAGGAGUCAUAUUGCCUUAUUUGGCAUACAAAGACACUACUAGUAGAAAAUAACCCUACACUAGUAUUUACAUGAUGGAAACUCAUCCCAAGCACACGAGAUAAGCAGUUACAGGCAAGCAUAAUGCCCUUAACAAGCUUAGCUUGUGACACAUUGGCGUGAGUUGUAGUCUUGUGCAUUGGGCUCUCCCCCCCCCCCACCCCCCCCCCCCCCCCCCCCCCAAAAAAAAGAAAAAAAUUUCCUGGACUUUUUGGUGUUUCCAAAUAGUGAAAAGUUGAGAAGGAUUUUAAAAUCUUUCGUAGACCACCAUGAAAAAACUAUACUGCAUUAAACUUUUGCUUGAAAGACAAGAUGAGGGAACAUUGAUCAUGAUGGCCUUGCAUGCUAAUUUACAUGUUUUGAAUUGAAGGCUUGACAAGGGAAAAGGGGAAGCCCGUAAUAAUGUUUGUCAGGGUUGUUAAUGUUCACCAAAAUAAAUAAAUAAAUAAAGUGCCAGCAUCAUUUAUGGCCUGUCAAGUAGUACAUACGAAUUGGUGGAAAAAGAUUCAUUUAGCCAACCCCACCUAUUGGGACUUCAGGCUGCUUCUUGUUAUUGUUCAACUUCUAUAAAUGAUGAUCUUAUAAACCUUAUCUUUCCCCCUGUUCAUGCACUCGUGCAUAUGCUUGCUCCCAUGUGUGCAUGAAUAUAUUUGAUAGUUACCUAGUUUGUAGUUUGAUGGUGAGGUGAUUGAUCUUCACGGGUAUGCUGAAUGCGUUGAGACAGACUCUGUUUGCAAAUCUUCAAGUGAAAAUGUCAACUGGCAUAUAUCCACUGAAAGAGCCUCAGCAGUGACACUGGGCUUCACAAAGGUUAUUAUCAUGACCGAUGCAGUGACAUAGCAAAGGAGCGAAAAAAAGAGCUGAAUGUCCCAGUAUUUUUUUUUCUGAUUACUGCGAAGAAACUUCCCAUCUGGCAGCUUGUUGCAUAAGCUCCAUAACUGGCAACUCGCUCACAUUUCCUAUUCAAUUAAAUCCAUUCAGGCAGCCGUUGGUGGCGGAAGAGAGUGCUCUGCUUCUUCCUUGUUUUUCAAACUGCUUCUGUUUGGAAUGUGAACUGUUUUUUAGGUUUAAAACUUUUGAUAUCUUAAACUAAUAGAAUGCGGGAAUUCAGGAAUGCAUAAAUGAGAAUAUUCUCU
This is a long non-coding RNA of Malania oleifera, 4017 nucleotides long. RefSeq lists it as uncharacterized. Lineage: Eukaryota; Viridiplantae; Streptophyta; Magnoliopsida; Santalales; Ximeniaceae. The transcript has 6 exons. The record is from RefSeq and is a predicted model, not a curated record.